RNAcentral lists this unclassified non-coding RNA (329 nucleotides) under soil metagenome. Its description in RNAcentral is "partial contains 5.8S ribosomal RNA, internal transcribed spacer 2, and large subunit ribosomal RNA". The stretch from base 1 to 120 matches the Rfam family "5.8S ribosomal RNA", at positions 35 to 154 of the family's 154-position model. The record is from RNAcentral.
GAUGAAGAACGUAGCGAAAUGCGAUAAGUAAUGUGAAUUGCAGAAUUCAGUGAAUCAUCGAAUCUUUGAACGCACAUUGCGCCCCCUGGUAUUCCGGGGGGCAUGCCUGUCCGAGCGUCAUUACAACCCUCAAGCUCAGCUUGGUGUUGGGCCCCGCCGCCCCGGCGGGCCCUAAAGUCAGUGGCGGUGCCGUCCGGCUCCGAGCGUAGUAAUUCUUCUCGCUCUGGAGGUCCGGUCGUGAGCUCGCCAGCAACCCCCAAUUUUUUUCAGGUUGACCUCGGAUCAGGUAGGGAUACCCGCUGAACUUAAGCAUAUCAAUAAGCGGAGGA